This 613-nucleotide ribosomal RNA is filed under the name uncultured bacterium. RNAcentral's name for it is "bacterial SSU rRNA". It matches the Rfam family "Bacterial small subunit ribosomal RNA", at positions 731 to 1343 of the family's 1533-position model. The record is from RNAcentral.
GGCGCGCAACUGACGCUCAUGCACGAAAGCGUGGGUAUUCGAACAGGAUUAGAUACCCUGGUAGUCCACGCAGUAAACGAUGAACACUAACUGUUCGGCCAGAAUGAUGGCUGAGUGGUACAGCGAAAGCGUUAAGUGUUCCACCUGGGGAGUACGCCGGCAACGGUGAAACUCAAAGGAAUUGACGGGGGCCCGCACAAGCGGAGGAACAUGUGGUUUAAUUCGAUGAUACGCGAGGAACCUUACCCGGGCUCAAACGACACAGGAAUACUUUUGAAAGGAGGUAGCCCUACGGGGUCUGUGUCGAGGUGCUGCAUGGUUGUCGUCAGCUCGUGCCGUGAGGUGUCGGCUUAAGUGCCAUAACGAGCGCAACCCCUAUCGCCAGUUACCAUCAAGUAAAGUUGGGGACUCUGGCGAGACUGCCGGCGCAAGCUGAGAGGAAGGCGGGGAUGACGUCAAAUCAGCACGGCCCUUACGUCCGGGGCGACACACGUGUUACAAUGGCAGGUACAGAGAGAAGCCAGGUGGCGACACCGCGCGGAACUCGAAAGCCUGUCUCAGUUCGGAUCGGAGUCUGCAACCCGACUCCGUGAAGCUGGAUUCGCUAGUAAUC